Molecule: long non-coding RNA, 279 nt
Filed under: Ananas comosus (pineapple)
Lineage: Eukaryota; Viridiplantae; Streptophyta; Magnoliopsida; Poales; Bromeliaceae
Description: long non-coding RNA (ACOM_LNC016419)
Source: RNAcentral
GCCCAACUUCCCAGAGAGUCACCCAUGCAUCCUAGGACUAUUCCCGUCCUACCACGCUUAACUCUUUUAACCUUAAUUUUGGGCCUAACUAUCAGCCGAAAUGCUUAAGCCGGGUUAAAAGUUCUAACCCUAUUAUAUCUUAUAUAUAGGACUAACUGGGGUCUCACAGAGUGGGCUCGAAAUGGUUAUCUCGGAGACUGCAAGAUGCUGUCAGUGGUUGGUGUGUGCAGAUUUUUGUGUAUCUGAUACUCAAAACAUGUUAAUGAAGUCCGUUUAGUU